This 69-nucleotide transfer RNA is filed under the name Odocoileus virginianus texanus. It matches the Rfam family "tRNA". From Rfam's summary of the family: Transfer RNA (tRNA) molecules are approximately 80 nucleotides in length. Their secondary structure includes four short double-helical elements and three loops (D, anti-codon, and T loops). RNAcentral also lists the same sequence under 5 other names. Lineage: Eukaryota; Metazoa; Chordata; Mammalia; Artiodactyla; Cervidae. The record is from Rfam by way of RNAcentral.
CCUGGUGGCUCAGACAGUAAAGAAUCUGCCUGCAAUGCAGGAGACCCAGGUUCGAUCCCUGGGUCAGGA